UUUCAGGGUCCGAGUUGUAAUUUGUAGAAGAUGCUUCGGGUGUGGCUCCGGUCUAAGUUCCUUGGAACAGGACGUCAUAGAGGGUGAGAAUCCCGUAUGUGACUGGUUGCCUUCGCCCAUGUGAAGCUCUUUCGACGAGUCGAGUUGUUUGGGAAUGCAGCUCAAAAUGGGUGGUAAAUUUCAUCUAAAGCUAAAUAUUGGCCAGAGACCGAUAGCGCACAAGUAGAGUGAUCGAAAGAUGAAAAGCACUUUGGAAAGAGAGUUAAACAGUACGUGAAAUUGUUGAAAGGGAAGCGCUUGCAACCAGACUUGCAUGUUGCCGAUCAUCUGGGGUUCUCUCCAGUGCACUCGGUUGCGUUCAGGCCAGCAUCGGUUUGGGUGGUUGGAUAAAGGCUGUGGGAAUGUAGCUUCUCUCGGGGAGUGUUAUAGCCCACGGUGCAAUGCAGCCUACCUGGACCGAGGACCGCGCUUCGGCUAGGAUGCUGGCGUAAUGGUUGUAAGCGACCCGUCUUGAAACACGGACCAAGGAGUCUAACAUCUAUGCGAGUGUUUGGGUGUCAAACCCAUACGCGUAAUGAAAGUGAACGGAGGUGAGAACCCUUAAGGGUGCAUCAUCGACCGAUCCUGAUGUCUUCGGAUGGAUUUGAGUAAGAGCAUAGCUGUUGGGACCCGAAAGAUGGUGAACUAUACCUGAAUAGGGUGAAGCCAGAGGAAACUCUGGUGGAGGCUCGCAGCGGUUCUGACGUGCAAAUCGAUCGUCAAAUUUGGGUAUAGGGGCGAAAGACUAAUCGAACCAUUGACUACUAGGUGGUUAAGAGGGUGUAGCAACGUGUGCCCUAGUUGCAAGACAACACUGUCAAAUUGUUCGGGGAAGUCCCGUCAAAUAUUCAACUACCGCAGCUGCUUCGAAAGGACAGUGCGCACCGGGUUAGCGACCUCGGGAAUGGUAAUAACGUUGAGUUAGGGAUUAUCCGCAGCCAAGUCCUACGGGUCGCCAGACCUACGGAUGCAGUUCACAGACUCAACGGCAGUGGGCCAGUGUAUUCUCACAGGCUUAAGAUAGAGUCGAACCCCCAGGAGACUGGUGUGGUCACAGGGCAGGAGCCUGAAAGCUAGUAGCUGGUUCCUGCCGAAGUUUCCCUCAGGAUAGCAGUGUUGAAUUCAGUUUUAUGAGGUAAAGCGAAUGAUUAGAGGCCUUGGGGUUGAAACAACCUUAACCUAUUCUCAAACUUUAAAUAUGUAAGAAGUCCUUGUUACUUAAUUGAACGUGGACAUUCGAAUGUACCAACACUAGUGGGCCAUUUUUGGUAAGCAGAACUGGCGAUGCGGGAUGAACCGAACGUGAAGUUAAGGUGCCGGAAUAUACGCUCAUCAGACACCACAAAAGGUGUUAGUUCAUCUAGACAGCAGGACGGUGGCCAUGGAAGUCGGAAUCCGCUAAGGAAUGUGUAACAACUCACCUGCCGAAUGAACUAGCCCUGAAAAUGGAUGGCGCUUAAGCGUAUUACCCAUACUUCACCGCC
This 1523-nucleotide ribosomal RNA is filed under the name fungal endophyte. RNAcentral's name for it is "LSU rRNA". It matches the Rfam family "Eukaryotic large subunit ribosomal RNA", at positions 129 to 1356 of the family's 3401-position model. RNAcentral also lists the same sequence under 1 other name. Lineage: Eukaryota; Fungi. The record is from RNAcentral.